CCUACGGGAGGCUGCAGUGGGGAAUAUUGGACAAUGGGCGAAAGCCUGAUCCAGCCAUGCCGCGUGUGUGAAGAAGGCCUUCGGGUUGUAAAGCACUUUCAGUGGGGAAGAAAGCCUUGGGGCUAAUACCCUCGAGGAAGGACAUCACCCACAGAAGAAGCACCGGCUAACUCCGUGCCAGCAGCCGCGGUAAUACGGAGGGUGCGAGCGUUAAUCGGAAUUACUGGGCGUAAAGCGCGCGUAGGCGGUCUGAUAAGCCGGUUGUGAAAGCCCCGGGCUCAACCUGGGAACGGCAUCCGGAACUGUCAGGCUAGAGUGCAGGAGAGGAAGGUAGAAUUCCCGGUGUAGCGGUGAAAUGCGUAGAGAUCGGGAGGAAUACCAGUGGCGAAGGCAGCCUUCUGGACUGACACUGACGCUGAGGUGCGAAAGCGUGGGUAGCAAACAGGAUUAGAUACCCCAGUAGUC
Molecule: ribosomal RNA, 465 nt
Filed under: Vreelandella stevensii
Lineage: Bacteria; Pseudomonadati; Pseudomonadota; Gammaproteobacteria; Oceanospirillales; Halomonadaceae
Description: partial 16S ribosomal RNA
Rfam family: Bacterial small subunit ribosomal RNA
Source: RNAcentral